This is a long non-coding RNA of Panicum virgatum (switchgrass), 1735 nucleotides long. RefSeq lists it as uncharacterized. The record is from RefSeq and is a predicted model, not a curated record. Lineage: Eukaryota; Viridiplantae; Streptophyta; Magnoliopsida; Poales; Poaceae. The transcript has 2 exons.
GAGUCCAGUCCAGUCCGCGUGCGUCUGGACUCGGCAAGGCUCGGCGCGGCGGCCUUUUGCGCGGUCCAGAACGGCCCCGGCCGCCAGCGACUGGAUCCCCGCCGGCGCCUUCGCCGGAUUCACAGCCACGCAGGGCGCGCCGGAGCCGCGCUCGCGGAGGAGUGGCGCAACGCCGCCACCCUCCACGACCCAGCGCGCGCGACGCGAGACUCCCGCGCCGCAGUUCAGGAGUGCGAUCCGUGUCGGACCAGCUUCGUUCCGCGGAAUCCACGCAGUUCGAGCGCGACCCCGCCUUCAAUCGGGCUGCUCCCGGAGCCGCCGCUCGUCGCCUGCGGCGGCAGCACGAAGGGGGGGGGGGGGGCGCUCGGCGGCCGCGGCCAUCGUGAGCUGAGAGGAUGCUACGGCUGCUGCGGCGAGUGUGGUACGUUAAAGGCAGGAGCACUGCCAUGUCAUAUAAGGAGCACUGCCAUGUCCUUGCCUUCAAGCCUUCAACCAUAUUCUGACCAUAUUGUAAGAUGAUAUCCACCUCAACAUUUCAAGAGACAUGACUGGCAUUUUGACCAUCAUCUUCCCGUUCAGAGUUGUCAACGCCUUUGACUUGGUGACCAUGUUUACCUGUCCCAUAUCACGACAGAGAAAGGCUCAAGAAGAGUCCAAGACUAACCUACAACCGUCCCAUAGCUUGUCUCAUAUGAAUGAACACAGAGCCUUGCAAUUCUCAUUGGUACAAUGGUACAUGUUAUUUUCACCUAUCAUUGUCAGCACCCACCAACCUAUUCGGGUUGCUAGUGGGCAACCUUCACGCUUGAUAUCUUUCAAAUUGAGCGUGAGCAAGCUGUCUGUCCUUGCCUUCAAGCUUCUAUCUUAUAUUAUUCUAGUGGUUGACACAUUUCAGUGAAGGUCAACUUGGAGUAAACAAAGGGUACUCCUUUACCGGCCUGCCAUUAGGUGCACCGUACACAGAACCUCCUGACCCUCUUUUCCUCCUCUAUUAGAAUAUAUGCUGCGCGUGCUUAAUGCUGCCUAUCCCUGUUUUGUCUCUCUAACUUUCCUAAAGGUGAAGGGUCCUUAUGUAGUCAUUCAUGCACAUAUAAUAUUACCACUUGCGGAGCUUUAUUAGCAGGCGUGAUGGACCUGAAGUAGUUACUUGUCUUCAUAACCAUAUUGUAAAUGUAGAUAGGGUAGGGAGGCUGAUUCUUCCUGUCUCCUGUCAAAGUUCAAGUUGAAAACUUUCCACCCCACUUUGGUUGACAUCUCACCCCGCAAUCACCAAUUGACAAUGUUAACUUUGAGCCUUGGAAGGAAAAUUCUCAUGUCCAUGCUUUUCUCAGUAAACUAGACAGAGUGCAGAAUGAGUGUCCUGCACCACGAAUGGAGACACCUUGGCGGUAUUGCAAACACAAUGUUGUCCAAAGUUUAUCCCCUGCUAAACGAGAACACGUUGAAAAGUUGCUACUGUCCCUUUCACGACAUUCCUUUAGGUCGAGGAGAAAGCCAAAUACAGGUAGCUGACCCCAGCAGACAAUUAGAUUACUGAGUAUUAUUGGUGCACGCCUCCCCGUCCUCUAUUUCAAUUAUUAAAAGUGCCAAUAUUUAUGGGUCAGAUCAGGGCGGUGAUCAGUGAUGAGUUUUGUAAGGAUUUUCUAGUUCAAGUGGAUGUCACCGUAAUUUUUGGUAGGAAGCCACCACUCUUGCAAGUCUAAAAUUCCUAAAGAAAAGGUACUGUAUUUUUUUU